RNAcentral lists this long non-coding RNA (346 nucleotides) under Capsicum annuum. Its description in RNAcentral is "long non-coding RNA (CANN_LNC012279)". Lineage: Eukaryota; Viridiplantae; Streptophyta; Magnoliopsida; Solanales; Solanaceae. The record is from RNAcentral.
CGCGGGGUUCGAGGAAGGAUCGAGUCAUAAUGAUCUAUCAUAAGUUGUCUCACCUUACAUUUCUGCCAGCGGCGGGUAUUUCUACGACUUAAACUCAUAACCUCCCGAUCACAUGACAACAACUUUACUCAUUACUCCAACUCCCCGUCUGAGUCGAGAGUGUAUUAAACUCUACGCUGUAGCUCUGAAAUAGAUGUAAGAUCGACGUACAAUUUAUCUUUCUCCGACUUCAUUUUGUGGAACUAAGGUUAAUAUGUAGGUCGACGUAUACGAUCCAUCUUUCUCCGACUUUAUUUUGUGGGACAACGGUUAGUAUGUAGGUCAACGUACGACCUAUCUUUCUCCG